AAAUUGAAGAGUUUGAUCAUGGCUCAGAUUGAACGCUGGCGGCAGGCCUAACACAUGCAAGUCGAACGGUAACAGGAAGCAGCUUGCUGCUUCGCUGACGAGUGGCGGACGGGUGAGUAAUGUCUGGGAAACUGCCUGAUGGAGGGGGAUAACUACUGGAAACGGUGGCUAAUACCGCAUAACGUCGCAAGACCAAAGAGGGGGACCUUCGGGCCUCUUGCCAUCAGAUGUGCCCAGAUGGGAUUAGCUUGUUGGUGAGGUAACGGCUCACCAAGGCGACGAUCCCUAG
RNAcentral lists this ribosomal RNA (289 nucleotides) under Salmonella enterica subsp. enterica serovar Infantis. RNAcentral's name for it is "partial 16S ribosomal RNA". It matches the Rfam family "Bacterial small subunit ribosomal RNA", at positions 1 to 286 of the family's 1533-position model. RNAcentral also lists the same sequence under 4 other names. Lineage: Bacteria; Pseudomonadati; Pseudomonadota; Gammaproteobacteria; Enterobacterales; Enterobacteriaceae. The record is from RNAcentral.